This is a non-coding RNA of Schistosoma mattheei, 45 nucleotides long. NCBI's taxonomy places the organism in Eukaryota, Metazoa, Platyhelminthes, Trematoda, Strigeidida, Schistosomatidae. The record is from Rfam.
AUCCAAACGAUGAGUCUCAGAUAGAACUAAACGCGCGUCGUGGAU